UGUCCUCACUGUGCCAUGCUCUAGUUACUAGAGCGUGGCACAGUGAGGACA
Molecule: microRNA precursor, 51 nt
Filed under: Xyrichtys novacula (pearly razorfish)
Lineage: Eukaryota; Metazoa; Chordata; Actinopteri; Labriformes; Labridae
Source: RNAcentral